RNAcentral lists this ribosomal RNA (492 nucleotides) under uncultured bacterium. RNAcentral describes it as "partial 16S ribosomal RNA". It matches the Rfam family "Bacterial small subunit ribosomal RNA", at positions 29 to 507 of the family's 1533-position model. The record is from RNAcentral.
AGUGAACGCUGGCGGUAGGCCUAACACAUGCAAGUCGAACGGCAGCACAGUAAGAGCUUGCUCUUACGGGUGGCGAGUGGCGGACGGGUGAGGAAUACAUCGGAAUCUACUUUUUCGUGGGUGAUAACGUAGGGAAACUUACGCUAAUACCGCAUACGACCUACGGGUGAAAGCAGGGGAUCUUCGGACCUUGCGCGAUUGAAUGAGCCGAUGUCGGAUUAGCUAGUUGGCGGGGUAAAGGCCCACCAAGGCGACGAUCCGUAGCUGGUCUGAGAGGAUGAUCAGACACACUGGAACUGAGACACGGUCCAGACUCCUACGGGAGGUAGCAGUGGGGAAUAUUGGACAAUGGGCGAAAGCCUGAUCCAGCCAUACCGCGUGGGUGAAGAAGGACUUCGGGUUGUAAAGCCCUUUUGUUGGGAAAGAAAAGCAGAAGGUUAAUACCCCGCUGUUCUGACGGUACCCAAAGAAUAAGCACCGGCUAACUUCGUG